Molecule: ribosomal RNA, 468 nt
Filed under: uncultured bacterium
Lineage: Bacteria
Description: partial 16S ribosomal RNA
Rfam family: Bacterial small subunit ribosomal RNA
Source: RNAcentral
GGCGAACGCUGGCGGCGUGCUUAACACAUGCAAGUCGAACGGAAAGGCCCUGCUUUUGUGGGGUGCUCGAGUGGCGAACGGGUGAGUAACACGUGAGUAACCUGCCCUUGACUUUGGGAUAACUUCAGGAAACUGGGGCUAAUACCGGAUAGGAGCUCCUGCUGCAUGGUGGGGGUUGGAAAGUUUCGGCGGUUGGGGAUGGACUCGCGGCUUAUCAGCCUGUUGGUGGGGUAGUGGCUUACCAAGGCUUUGACGGGUAGCCGGCCUGAGAGGGUGACCGGCCACAUUGGGACUGAGAUACGGCCCAGACUCCUACGGGAGGCAGCAGUGGGGAAUAUUGCACAAUGGGCGGAAGCCUGAUGCAGCAACGCCGCGUGCGGGAUGACGGCCUUCGGGUUGUAAACCGCUUUCGCCUGUGACGAAGCGUGAGUGACGGUAAUGGGUAAAGAAGCACCGGCUAACUACGUG